Molecule: ribosomal RNA, 539 nt
Filed under: Yamadazyma oceani
Lineage: Eukaryota; Fungi; Ascomycota; Pichiomycetes; Serinales; Debaryomycetaceae
Description: [Candida] oceani partial 26S ribosomal RNA
Source: RNAcentral
AAGACGGGUGGCUUAAGGCCAUUAUGCCAGCAUCCUUGUCAAAAGACGCAGUCCUCAGUCUAGGUAGGCAGUAUCAACAAAGGCUAUAACACUUGACCGAAGCCGAGCCACAUUCCUUCGCCAUUCUCCUACCACCCAAACUGAUGCUGGCCUGGUAAAACCAAGUCUGACCUCAAGCCCUUCCCUUUCAACAAUUUCACGUACUUUUUCACUCUCUUUUCAAAGUUCUUUUCAUCUUUCCUUCACAGUACUUGUUCGCUAUCGGUCUCUCGCCAAUAUUUAGCUUUAGAUGGAAUUUACCACCCACUUAGAGCUGCAUUCCCAAACAACUCGACUCGUCGAAGGAACUUUACACGGAUUUGGGCAGCUCAUCACACGGGAUUCUCACCCUCUAUGACGUCCUGUUCCAAGAAACAUAGACAAGCGCCAAACCCAAAGAUACCUUCUUCAAAUUACAACUCGGACACCAAAGGUGCCAGAUUUCAAAUUUGAGCUAUUGCCGCUUCACUCGCCGCUACUGAGGCAAUCCCUGUUGGUUU